Molecule: ribosomal RNA, 253 nt
Filed under: uncultured bacterium
Lineage: Bacteria
Description: partial 16S ribosomal RNA
Rfam family: Bacterial small subunit ribosomal RNA
Source: RNAcentral
UACAGAGGUCGCAAGCGUUGUUCGGAAUUACUGGGCGUAAAGGGUGCGCAGGCCGCGCGGGCAGUCAAAUGUGUAAUUCAGGGGCUCAACCCCUGCACUGCGCUUGAUACUUCCGCGCUCGAGCUUUAGAGAGGAGUCUGGAAUUCUCGGUGUAGCAGUGAAAUGCGUGGAUAUCGAGAAGAACACUUAGGGCGUAGGCAAGACUCUGGACAAAUGCUGACGCUCAUGCACGAAGGUUAGGGUAGCGAACGGG